Molecule: ribosomal RNA, 253 nt
Filed under: uncultured bacterium
Lineage: Bacteria
Description: partial 16S ribosomal RNA
Rfam family: Bacterial small subunit ribosomal RNA
Source: RNAcentral
UACAGAGGGUGCAAACGUUGCUCGGAAUCAUUGGGCGUAAAGCGCACGUAGGCGGUUUGUUAUGUCGGAUGUGAAAGCCCUUGGCUCAACUGAGGAAGUGCAUCCGAAACUGGCAAGCUAGAGUAUGUAAGAGGGUCGCGGAAUUCCCGGUGUAGAGGUGAAAUUCGUAGAUAUCGGGAGGAACACCGGUGGCGAAGGCGGCGACCUGGGACAAUACUGACGCUGAGGUGCGAAAGCGUGGGGAGCAAACAGG